CAGUCCGGAUUGUAGGCUGCAACUGCCUACAUGAAGUUGGAAUCGCUAGUAAUCGCGAAUCAGAAUGUCGCGGUGAAUACGUUCCCGGGUCUUGUACACACCGCCCGUCACACCACGAGAGUUUACAACACCCGAAGUCAGUGGCCUAACCGUAAGGAGGGAGCUGCCUAAGGUGGGGUAGAUGAUUGGGGUGAAGUCGUAACAAGGUACC
This 211-nucleotide ribosomal RNA is filed under the name uncultured bacterium. RNAcentral's name for it is "partial 16S ribosomal RNA". It matches the Rfam family "Bacterial small subunit ribosomal RNA", at positions 1289 to 1500 of the family's 1533-position model. The record is from RNAcentral.